GGAGUGGCCGUCUCUCUCUCUCUCUCUCUCCUCUCUCUCUCUCUCUCUCUCUCUCUCUCCCUCUCCCUCUCCCUCUCUCUCUCUCUCUCUCUCUCUCCCUCUCCCUCUCUCUCUCUCUCUCUCGUGCUAAGGUUCUUUCUCUGGAGCGAGACAGACGCGGCUGUUAUUAUACCACCACCAGACUGCAGGAGGCUGCGGCAACACAGAUCGCGUGCUUUUUUUCCCUAAACGGAUAAACAGACAGAUAAAAUAAUAACAUAAUAACAACGGACGAGUAGCUGUUAUAAUCACCGUCCGCUCUCCAGCUCUCCAGCUCUCCAGCUCUCCAGCUCUCCAGCUCUCCAGCUCUCCAGCUCUCCUCCAAUACCAAAUAAACUACUGGGACCAAAGAAAGAACCAUUCUAUCUUUCCUGUUCUGUCUGUCUGUCUCUCCUUCCCUUCCUUUCUGUCUCUCUCUCCUUCCCUUCCUUUCUGUCUCUCUUCCCCUCUCUCCCCCCUCCUUUCCUUCUCUCUCUGGGAUGAGGGGCUGUGGCUGAGGCUGUGGGUGAGGGUCUGUGUCCAGUCUGAAGCUGGGGAAGCUAAAGGUGGUGCGGCGGCAGCUGCUGCAGAGGUAAACUACUAGUGUGUGUGUUGUCUUGUGUAGAAGAUUCCAUUCUAAAUGAUAGAUGAUACAGUACU
Molecule: long non-coding RNA, 678 nt
Filed under: Oncorhynchus kisutch (coho salmon)
Lineage: Eukaryota; Metazoa; Chordata; Actinopteri; Salmoniformes; Salmonidae
Description: lncRNA (ENSOKIG00005019457.1)
Source: RNAcentral